Molecule: transfer RNA, 63 nt
Filed under: Gnathostomula paradoxa
Lineage: Eukaryota; Metazoa; Gnathostomulida; Bursovaginoidea; Gnathostomulidae
Description: tRNA-Asp
Source: RNAcentral
UGAUAAAUAGUUUAAAUAAAACGUAAAAUUGUCAUUUUUACAAUAUCUGUAAGAUUUUAUCAU